RNAcentral lists this ribosomal RNA (224 nucleotides) under uncultured prokaryote. RNAcentral's name for it is "partial 16S ribosomal RNA". It matches the Rfam family "Bacterial small subunit ribosomal RNA", at positions 524 to 747 of the family's 1533-position model. The record is from RNAcentral.
UACAGAGGCCCCAAGCAUUAUCCGGAAUCACUGGGCGUAAAGGGUGUCUAGGCGGCCUUCUUAGUCUUCUGUAAAAUCCGUGGGCUUAACCUACGGUCCGCAGAAGAAACGGGAAGGCUCGAGGGCGCGAGAGGUGCACGGAACUCAUGGUGGAGGGGUGAAAUCCGUUGAUAUCAUGGGGAACACCAAAGGCGAAGGCAGUGCACUGGCGCGUUCCUGACGCU